RNAcentral lists this ribosomal RNA (185 nucleotides) under uncultured bacterium. RNAcentral's name for it is "partial 16S ribosomal RNA". It matches the Rfam family "Bacterial small subunit ribosomal RNA", at positions 1317 to 1500 of the family's 1533-position model. The record is from RNAcentral.
UGCGUGAAGUUGGAAUCGCUAGUAAUCGCGGAUCAGAAUGCCGCGGUGAAUACGUUCCCGGGUCUUGUACACACCGCCCGUCACACCAUGGGAGUCAGCAACGCCCGAAGUCAGUGACCCAACCUUCAAGGAGGGAGCUGCCGAAGGCGGGGCAGGUAACUGGGGUGAAGUCGUAACAAGGUAUC